Molecule: ribosomal RNA, 488 nt
Filed under: Annellosporium nemorosum
Lineage: Eukaryota; Fungi; Ascomycota; Sordariomycetes; Xylariales; Xylariaceae
Description: eukaryotic LSU rRNA
Rfam family: 5.8S ribosomal RNA (bases 155-308)
Source: RNAcentral
ACCCUUUGUGAACCUUACCGUCGUUGCCUCGGCGGGCUGUACUUACCCUGUAGCUACCCUGUAGCUACCCGGUAGGUGCGCUCCAAGCCCGCCGGUGGACCACUAAAUUCUAUUUUACUACUGUAUCUCUGAAUGCUUCAACUUAAUAAGUUAAAACUUUCAACAACGGAUCUCUUGGUUCUGGCAUCGAUGAAGAACGCAGCGAAAUGCGAUAAGUAAUGUGAAUUGCAGAAUUCAGUGAAUCAUCGAAUCUUUGAACGCACAUUGCGCCCAUUAGUAUUCUAGUGGGCAUGCCUAUUCGAGCGUCAUUUCAACCCUUAAGCCUAGUUGCUUAGUGUUGGGAAUCUGCCCUGUAUUUAUAGGGCAGUUCCUUAAAGUGAUCGGCGGAGUUAGGGCAUACUCUAAGCGUAGUAAUAUUCUUCUCGCUUCUGUAGUUGUCCUGGCGGCUUGCCGUUAAACCCCUAUAUUUCUAGUGGUUGACCUCGGAU